ACUAGGCACACUAAAAGAAAUGUCCUCUCCCCACCUAGCACUGUCUAGUUGACUGACUGAGCAGCAAUGGCACAAGAAGCAGCCCACCCAGUGGUGUGAGAGUUGACAGGAACAAGAAACAGUAACAAAGCAAGAGAAGAAACAUUGGGUUCAAGAAUUCCAGUGAGACUCUGGAGGCAAGUUUUAAUCUCCUAUAGGCAAUACCCCUGGAAAGCAGAACCAGAGUGAGGGACCUGCCAGCUGAAG
Molecule: long non-coding RNA, 246 nt
Organism: Gallus gallus (chicken)
Lineage: Eukaryota; Metazoa; Chordata; Aves; Galliformes; Phasianidae
Source: Ensembl